This 460-nucleotide ribosomal RNA is filed under the name uncultured bacterium. Its description in RNAcentral is "partial 16S ribosomal RNA". It matches the Rfam family "Bacterial small subunit ribosomal RNA", at positions 358 to 795 of the family's 1533-position model. The record is from RNAcentral.
CCUACUUUGUUCAUCCUUUCUUCCUAUUUUUCCAUUUCCUAUAUUCUGAACCAGCCAAGUAGCGUGAAGGAUGACUGCCCUAUGGGUUGUAAACUUCUUUUAUAUGGGAAUAAAAUGUUCCACGUGUGGGAUUUUGUAUGUACCAUAUGAAUAAGGAUCGGCUAACUCCGUGCCAGCAGCCGCGGUAAUACGGAGGAUCCGAGCGUUAUCCGGAUUUAUUGGGUUUAAAGGGAGCGUAGGUGGAUUGUUAAGUCAGUUGUGAAAGUUUGCGGCUCAACCGUAAAAUUGCAGUUGAAACUGGCAGUCUUGAGUACAGUAGAGGUGGGCGGAAUGCGUGGUGUAGCGGUGAAAUGCUUAGAUAUCACGAAGAACUCCGAUUGCGAAGGCAGCUCACUGGACUGCAACUGACACUGAGGCUCGAAAGUGUGGGUAUCAAACAGGAUUAGAUACCCCAGUAGUC